Molecule: ribosomal RNA, 845 nt
Filed under: Limacella glioderma
Lineage: Eukaryota; Fungi; Basidiomycota; Agaricomycetes; Agaricales; Amanitaceae
Description: eukaryotic LSU rRNA
Rfam family: Eukaryotic large subunit ribosomal RNA
Source: RNAcentral
CUGCGAGUGAAGCGGGAAAAGCUCAAAUGUAAAAUCUGAUAGUCUUUUGGCUGUCCGAGUUGUAAUCUAGAGAAAUGUUAUCCGUGCUGGACCAUGUAUAAGUCUCCUGGAAUGGAGCGUCAUAGAGGGUGAGAAUCCCGUCUUUGACAUGGAACUACCAGUACAUUGUGAUGCGCUCUCAAAGAGUCGAGUUGUUUGGGAAUGCAGCUCAAAAUGGGUGGUAAAUUCCAUCUAAAGCUAAAUAUUGGCGAGAGACCGAUAGCGAACAAGUACCGUGAGGGAAAGAUGAAAAGAACUUUGGAAAGAGAGUUAAACAGUACGUGAAAUUGUUGAAAGGGAAACGCUUGAAGUCAGUUACAUUGAUCAGAGAUCAAUCCUGCUAUUAUUGCAGGGUGUACUAUCUGGUUAAUGGGUCAGCAUCAAUUUUGACUGUUGGAAAAAAGCAAAGGGAAUGUAGCAUCCCUGUUGAUGUGUUAUAGCCCUUGGUUGUAUACAACAGUUGGGAUUGAGGAACUCAGCAUGCCGCAAGGCCGGGUUUUAAAACCACGUUCAUGCUUAGGAUGCUGGCAAAAUGGCUUUAAUCGACCCGUCUUGAAACACGGACCAAGGAGUCUAACAUACCUGCGAGUGUUUGGGUGGAAAACCCGAGCGCGUAAUGAAAGUGAAAGUUGAGAUCCCUGUCAUGGGGAGCAUCGACGCCCAGACCAGAACUUUUGGGACGGAUCUGCGGUAGAGCAUGUAUGCUGGGACCCGAAAGAUGGUGAAAUAUGCCUGAAUAGGGUGAAGCCAGAGGAAACUAUGGUGGAGGCUCGUAGCGAUUCAGACGUGCAAAUCGAUCGUCGAAU